Molecule: long non-coding RNA, 538 nt
Organism: Parambassis ranga (Indian glassy fish)
Lineage: Eukaryota; Metazoa; Chordata; Actinopteri; Ambassidae
Source: Ensembl
CGCCUGUAGCCGGGCUUGACAUCAGGCAAAAUGUUUUUUUUUUUUUUUUAAAUCAACCAUUAUAACGACGUAGAAAGUGCAAACAUCUACAGGAAACCGGAAAGGGUCACCAAAGACGCCCCGCUGACAAAAACCCGUCUGAAAACCACCUAAACGGAGCUAAAUGUAGCGCACCGUGUGCCAACUUUGUUUCGAAUAUCCAAACCCCGGCAGUCCCCGUAUCCCUCUAGCGGCGCGGACUGCACCGAUACCCGGCAUGCAUCGUUAGGAGACACCGCAGAGCAACCAUGUUUCUCAGUACCGGCCAUGGCAGUCAAAAACACCCCCCGAAAACAGCACUGAACAGAUUUGUCUUUGAUUUCCACCCACAGAGAGUCAGAUCCACAAACACAAUCACAACAAUCAAUUUGCAGAAUCAACAAGUAACAGAAGAGAUGACUAUGUGCCAUGGAAGGUGCUGAGGUGUAGACGGUAUGUGUAUCUUCUUCUCUGUGAUUCGAAUUGAUGCGUGCCGGACUGCUGGUGUGAUUUCCAAAUU